UAUCGUCUGCAAAUCGGAGGUGUGAGA
This 27-nucleotide non-coding RNA is filed under the name Bombyx mori (domestic silkworm). Lineage: Eukaryota; Metazoa; Arthropoda; Insecta; Lepidoptera; Bombycidae. The record is from RNAcentral.